Molecule: long non-coding RNA, 235 nt
Organism: Drosophila miranda
Lineage: Eukaryota; Metazoa; Arthropoda; Insecta; Diptera; Drosophilidae
Exons: 3
Source: RefSeq, a predicted model, not a curated record
CAGCUGCUGUGGGGGCAGCUCUGUCUGGUGAUUGGCAGUGGCUGGCCUCUGGACUUCUGUUGGAAUUGACGGCAGUGCUGCUGAUGAGGCCUCCAAAUUACGCCCAUUAUGCCUCAAGAGAGUUCCAGGAGUGGCGAGGCAGCUGCUGGAGGAGCAGCUCUGUCGGUUUAAUAGCAGGUUUUAUUGGCAUUAAACUUCUGCUAUUUGUCGCAAUCAGUAGACGCCGUUUAAUCCG